This 334-nucleotide long non-coding RNA is filed under the name Ananas comosus (pineapple). RNAcentral's name for it is "long non-coding RNA (ACOM_LNC007977)". The record is from RNAcentral. Lineage: Eukaryota; Viridiplantae; Streptophyta; Magnoliopsida; Poales; Bromeliaceae.
CCAACAAGUUGCUAAAGAGGAUAGACGGUGUCUGGAGGUCCGGCUGUCAACUGCACCCUUCCAUCUGCCCCAGACUAUAAUAAAAUCAUUUCCCAUAUCCCUAUCCUGAACGACCCCCACUCCCAUUACUAAAAGGAAUUUGGAGAAUACGCACUGUGUGAACAAGUGGUCCAUAGUUUCCUCAUUAGCCCCACACAGUACACAGGUGAUAUCUCCAAUCCACCCUCUCUUCAUUAGGUUGUCAGCUGUAAGGAGUCUCUUCCUGAGUGCCAACCAACAGAACACUUUAACUUUUAGCGGUAUUCGAAAUUUCCAAACCUUGCUUGCACGAGUG